UGACACUGUGGUUGCAAGGAGAUGG
RNAcentral lists this non-coding RNA (25 nucleotides) under Mus musculus (house mouse). Lineage: Eukaryota; Metazoa; Chordata; Mammalia; Rodentia; Muridae. The record is from RNAcentral.